RNAcentral lists this ribosomal RNA (492 nucleotides) under uncultured bacterium. RNAcentral's name for it is "partial 16S ribosomal RNA". It matches the Rfam family "Bacterial small subunit ribosomal RNA", at positions 29 to 507 of the family's 1533-position model. The record is from RNAcentral.
AGUGAACGCUGGCGGUAGGCCUAACACAUGCAAGUCGAACGGCAGCACAGUAAGAGCUUGCUCUUACGGGUGGCGAGUGGCGGACGGGUGAGGAAUACAUCGGAAUCUACUUUUUCGUGGGGGAUAACGUAGGGAAACUUACGCUAAUACCGCAUACGACCUACGGGUGAAAGCAGGGGAUCUUCGGACCUUGCGCGAUUGAAUGAGCCGAUGUCGGAUUAGCUAGUUGGCGGGGUAAAGGCCCACCAAGGCGACGAUCCGUAGCUGGUCUGAGAGGAUGAUCAGCCACACUGGAACUGAGACACGGUCCAGACUCCUACGGGAGGCAGCAGUGGGGAAUAUUGGACAAUGGGCGCAAGCCUGAUCCAGCUAUACCGCGUGGGUGAAGAAGGCCUUCGGGUUGUAAGGCCCUUUUGUUGGGAAAGAAAAGCAGCAGGUUAAUACCCCGCUGUUCUGACGGUACCCAAAGAAUAAGCACCGGCUAACUUCGUG